UGAAGUACCACAAUGGCCCUCUCCUCUCUGGCAAGAUCUCCAUCAACCUCAUCUGGUACGGCCGCUUCAAGCCCUCCCAGCGCACCAUCGUCUCCGACUUCGUCACCUCCCUCUCCUCCGACCCUUCUUUGGCUCAGGCCCCUCCUUCCGUCUCCCAGUGGUGGAAGACGGUCGACAAGUACUACCACCUCUCCUCCUCCAAGAGGCACGCUCCCUCUCUCAGGCUCUCCCUCGGGAGGCAAGUCCUCGACGAGAGCUACUCGCUAGGGAAGUCCCUCACGAGCAAGCACCUCGUCGAGCUCGCGUCCCGGGGCGAACAGCGGAACGCCAUCAACGUCGUUCUCACCUCCUCCGACGUGGCCGUCGAGGGAUUCUGCAUGAGCCGGUGCGGCUCCCACGACUCCGCCGUCGGUUCCGUCAAGGUCAAGGGCAGGAGCUCGAGGUUCGCGUACAUCUGGGUGGGCAACUCGGAGACGCAGUGCCCGGGGCAGUGCGCGUGGCCGUUCCACCAGCCCCUGUACGGCCCGCAGAGCCCCCCGUUGGUGGCGCCCAACGGGGACGUCGGCGUCGACGGGAUGGUGAUCAACCUUGCAGGCCUCCUCGCCGGGACCGCCACGAACCCGUUCUCAAACGGGUACUACCAGGGCGAGGCGGGGGCGUCGCUGGAGGCGGCGUCAGCGUGCACCGGGAUCUACGCCAAUGGGGCAUACCCUGGCUACGCCGGGAACUUGCUGGUGGAGGAGGCGACGGGGGCGAGCUACAACGCGCACGGCGUGAACGGGAGGAAGUACCUGGUCCCGGCUCUCUACGAUCCGUCCACGUCGUCGUGUUCGACUCUGGUGUGAGUGAAGUGGCGACAGAUAGAAACUAUGACGUUUAGGCUACCAAAUUAAUUCAUUCAUUUGUUUAUUGGUUCUGCAGUUCCUCUAUAUUAUUGUCAUUAUAUUUAAUGAAAAAGGCAAACUACUUUUAUUUGCUACAAUUACGUGAGCCAUGGAAAAUCAACCGGACAAAAUCCACUCUUAAUCUGAGGAGUUCAGCUCUUCACUCACAGAAAUCAAUAAACCGACCGGGCUAAUUACACCAUUUGUGGAAGAAAAGAUAAUUACGUAGUGAAAUUACCCAUUUAGUUUUUAAGGGAACAGAUGGAGGGGCUUAGGUCGACGGAGCGUGAGAAAUCCAUUAUUAAUACUGGCGUAAGUCAUUGGUUAUGGCAAAAGGCACAUGGGAUGAGAACUUUUUCUUUUCUAAGUGAAGGUGCUGCAUAUGACACGAACGUUAUUUAACUUAACAGCAACCCCAAAUGAUUAUAACUUUAUGGUUUAUUCAAAUUAUUCCUAUUAGGUGCUCAUCGUGGUGAAAAUAGUUAAGUUGUUAUAUAUGGUUUCUAAGGGACAAGGUGCGAUGCUCCUCACAGACCCCCAGGGAGACAUCUGAAAUGAGUCAUUUCUUACAAAUGUGGCUUGACCACGGCUAACUUUCUUAUAUUCAUGUAAAUUAAUCUUAUACUUAACUACACUUGAGGUGGGAGCUUUUAUCAUACCGUGAGUCAAGCAACUAGUCACUUACAUUAACCAUUGGAUGAAGCCCAUAUUACAUCAUACUCCUUCAAUUUACCAGUCAAGAAAUAAUAAUAUAGAAUAUAGAUUUGAGGAAUUUUUGUAUAUAGUUCGAUGUCUAGAAAAGAGUAUAUAGAGAGCUUAAAUUUUAACUUUAAUAGAUGAUUAUUUAAGGAAACUAUAUUAGAUAUGGAUUAUUAGAAUAGAUAUAGAAAAUUAUAGAAAAUAUCCUAAAUAUCUUUAAAUAUUAACUUUGAUAGAUGAUUAUUUAAGGAAACUAUAUUAGAUAUGGAUUAUUAGAAUAGAUAUAGAAAAUUAGAGAAAAUAUCCUAAAUAUCUCUAGAAGAAAUCAACACAUGUCUAACAUCCAAUUUCAAACUCACAAGGACUAAUUCAACUUGAGUUUGAAAUCAAAUUAAAUCACAUCCGGCGAUUGAGAUGUGGCGAAUGAGGUGGCUUCUACGUUGUUUGUGGUGAAACUCCCAAAUCUAGCUAAUUUGAGGGAGGCAAGUUUGAUGGUGGUUUUGACUUUACAAAAUGAUGCAGGUUGAGAAUUGGAGGGCAAAAUGCUAGCUGCUAUUGUGGCUAGCUUGCAGAAUGGUAACUGACCGAUAUGGCUAGUACAACUAGUGUCGCAACAUCAGGCGACUUAUAUGAUAGGCUUGGGAAAAUAGUUACUAAGUGAUGUGACCUCUCCAACUACCAUAGAAAAAGCCACCUUAGUGAUAAAGGUUCAAUUGGGCAAUGCGAGCGGCACAAUUGGUGUGGAAUGGAUUGGAUUAAGUGUUUCCUCAAAUUAGACUUAUAUGUAUGAAGUGAAAACUGUUGACUGUUGAGCAGUAGGGAUGGAUGAUUUAUUUGGGUGUACAUUAGGGUGCUUGGGGAGCAUGGGUGUAUCAAUGCAAAGUGUACCUAGUGUACUAGGGUUGCCUUAGCAAAGAGGUUCUAAUACCAAGUCAAAAAUGAAAAAAACCCCAAAUUAUUAUAGACGUACUAAAUGUACUUUCCAAUAUUUUUUCGUUAAAUUUUACCAUAAAAAAACUGAGUUAAAUGACAUGUGAUAAUUGACAAGUGUACCAGCUCAAGGGUUUACUCUUCAUUUGUUACAGAUGUAUCAAUUUAUGAUUUUUCGUGAUAUUAAUUCAAUUUAAUAAAAAUUAACGAAGGUAAAUUUCUCAUAAAUAUAUCAGUUUGAGGUUUAAAAAAUUAAUUUUGGAUAAAUUUAUCAUUGGUGUACAAUUUUGGGGUUUUUAAUGAUAAAAAAAAUUAAUUCAAGGUAAAUUUGUCAUAGUGUACUAAUUUGGAGUUUUUCAUGAUAUUAAACUAAAAUAAUAAUGCAGAAGAUAGAUUUGAGGAAGUUCUUUAUAUAGUUCGAUUUAUAGAAAAUAGUACAUGAAGAUUUUAUUUAUAGACUUUAAUAGAUGACUAUGUAAGGAAAAGGGAUUAGAUAUGCACAAUCGAAAUAGAUAAAAAAAAAAUCAGAAAUAAUUUCUUAAAUAUUACUAAAAGAUAUAUGCAUUUCUCUAACAUCACCAUUGAUCCACCGCUGCAAUAAUUGUUAACGAUGUUUAUAAUUUUCAGGAAAAUUUGUGUCGAUUAAUGAUAGACAUCGAAACUCGGACAUGAGAUCCAUGGCAUGGCAUGCUCAAAAGAGCUGCGUCGCUAAACCUAUAAAAAAUGUGGAUUCGCACUUAGCUAACACGCCCAUCCUUGACAAUUAGCUCCACCGCCACCACCAACUAGCGUGUCUCCUUCUCGCGACCCAAGAGGCAGGCCACUGAUUGGUUUCGUUCUCUCGGUCAAAACUCUUGUUUUUCCCUUAGCUGUUAAUGCCCUGUAAUGAAAUGUAUAACUGUUGGACCGAGAGUUUUGACUUUUUGCCAACGAAAACAAUUCAUUAACAAGCAAAUGUGUCAAAUCAAGUUGGCCUCUCUUUCCUUUACUUCACCAUUCUCUCCUCACUACCAUCCUCUCACCUUCCCCCUCUCUUGCCAAAUCUAACUUCAUUUCUUUCGCUCAGCUACUCCUAAGGGCUCCAAUCGGCCUUCUCUUUCUCAUUUCUACCCAUCAUAUUAAUCAGACCUGUGUGUUCUAUCUUGGGCAAUCUUCUCAAUGGGGGGUUUUGUAUAUGCAUGUUUUUCCUAUAUAGAAAUAUUCACAGUGUGGUCCCUUUUGCGAUCCAUUACCUUGGAUUUUUUUACUAAAGAGCUGAACCAUAAAAUUGAAAUUGGUCGAAAACUUGGUUGGAUCUUGGUUCGAGAAAAGGAUACAAUUUGACCUUGGGGAUCCUAUUUAGAUUUAUACCAUUGAGUAUAACAAAAUCUCAAUUGGAUCGUGGAUCGAGUUAAACACUCUUGUAACCUUAGUUUAUUUUAUUUUAUUUUAUUUUAUUUAUUUGGCUGCAUGUGCUCAGUUAUGAAUAAUAUGGAUGACGUGUCAUAUGCUAGUGCAAGAGUUUAGGUGAUUUUAGGACAAACCCAAGCUUUUGGUCACACCACUCAAUUCCCACGCGUUACAUUAUCCCUUUCGCUUUACUCAUCCCAUAUAUUUAUCAUUGGUCAACCAAGGCCACUAUUGGUAAUAAAUAAAUAAAAACCAAGACUGCCGCGUAGCGCAAAACUCACGAGUGUGGCCCAGCGGGGGCCUCCAAUAUGAUGGAGUACCAUCGACCACCUCUGAAAAAGUCGUCCUAACAGCGUAAAUGCAAUGAUAAUUGAACGCCUAGUCGAGCACCAGUUGUCAUUUGUUAAUCUUGCUGGUGAAGAUGCAACUGGGAAUGGCAAUACCACAUCAUCUCCUCCAAAUUUAAUUAUUACAUUCAUGAGCUGCCCUCCUUUGUCUCUUUCCAGGCAGGUUCCGGCACUUUAACCCCACUUCUACGUUCCCAACUUCAUAUCUAUUUAUUAUUAUAUUAUAUAGUCGUAAAAUAAAAUAAUCGAAGCAUCACCCCAUCCCCAACCUUCUAUAAAUACUCCUCGCUUCGACACAACCCACAAUUUCAACAAAGCGAGAAGCUACCUCAGCUUUCACCUUUCCUCUUUCCUCAGUCUCAGCCAAAACUCAGCUACAAUGGCAUCCUUCUUCUUCACUUCUAAGACAGCUCUUCCAAAGCUAUUCCUUGCCCUCUGCCUCCUCCAGAUGGCCUCCGCCACCAGGAGGCUGGCCGAGCUGGUCCAAGACCAGUCCCCGCCCAUGAAGUACCACAAUGGCCCUCUCCUCUCCGGCAAGAUCUCCGUCAACCUCAUCUGGUACGGCCGCUUCCAGCCCUCCCAGCGCACCAUCGUCUCCGACUUCGUCACCUCCCUCUCCUCCGACCCUUCUUUGGCUCACGCCCCUCCUUCCGUCUCCCAGUGGUGGAAGACGGUCGAUAAGUAUUACCACCUCUCGUCCUCCAAGAGGCCCACGCCUUCACUCACGCUCUCGCUCGGGAGGCAAGUCCUCGACGAGAGCUACUCCCUCGGGAAGUCCCUCACGAGCAAGCACCUCGUCGAGCUCGCGUCCCGGGGCGAGCAGCAGAACGCCGUCAACGUCGUGCUCACCUCCUCCGACGUGGCCGUCGAGGGAUUCUGCAUGAGCCGGUGCGGCUCCCACGACUCCGCCAUCGGUUCCGUCAAGGUCAACGGCAAGAGCUCCAGGUUCCCUUACAUUUGGGUGGGCAACUCGGAGACGCAGUGCCCGGGGCAGUGCGCGUGGCCGUUCCACCAGCCCCAGUACGGCCCACAGAGCCCGCCGCUGGUGGCGCCCAACGGGGACGUCGGCGUCGACGGGAUGGUGAUCAACCUGGCAGGCCUCCUCGCCGGGACCGCCACGAACCCGUUCUCAAACGGGUACUACCAGAGCGAGGCGGGGGCGUCGCUGGAGGCGGCGUCGGCGUGCACCGGGAUCUACGGCAAUGGGGCGUACCCAGGCUACGCCGGGAACUUGCUGGUGGAUGAGGCGACGAGGGCGAGCUACAACGCGCACGGCGUGAACGGGAGAAAGUACCUGGUCCCGGCUCUCUACGAUCCGUCCACGUCGUCCUGCUCGACGCUGGUGUGAGGGAAGUGGAGACAGAUUGAAACGAUGACGUUUAGGCUACCAGAUUGAUUAAUUCAUUCGUUUAUUGGUUUUUUCGUUGCUGUAUAUUACUGUAAUUAUAGUUAAUAGAAAAGGCAAACCACUUUUAUUUGCUACAAUUUGCUCUGGUGCAAAGCAAGCGGGCUAAUCCAUUCCUAAUUCGACGAUUUUAGCUCUUCAAUCGCGCUAAUCGAUCAAUCACGCGGGCUCAUAACACCUUUGCUGGAGAAGAAAAAUUUGCGUUGCGAAUGUAUGCUCCAACGGAGGAGCUUAAGUCGAGGACGUGAGAGAAAUCCAUUUCUUAUACAGGUCUAGUCAUUGGUUAUGGCAAAAGGGACUCGGGAUGAGAAUUCUGACUUUUCUCAAUGAAAAUGCCGUAUAUAAGACAAUAAUCCCAAAUGAUUAUCACUUUGUGCUUUGUACAAAUUAUUGCUUUUAGGUUCCCAGCGAUAGUUAGAUUGUAACAAAUGUUAUGGAAGUUGGUUCCUCAUGAAAUAGGAUAGAUUGGGCCAUAUAUGAUUUUGAGGAAAGAGAGCGAUUGCUGAGUUUGGACGAAGUGUGACGCUCCUUAUGACUUCUAUGGAGGCAAAGGUCACUCGUCUAGUAGGACCGUAUUGCAGGGAGAUAUGGGCAAUCAUGUCGUGUAUGUUAAUUCUUUAAGUCAGAGCUGCCAUCGCUUGUAUCUGUCGAGAUCACCAAGGCUUUGUGGUGGACGGAUUUGCGAAGCCAGUCGAUGCGGCUUCGGCUUCUCAAGCAAAGGCGAUCGCAAUGGACGAAACCCUAAAGUUCAUCGAAAGCCGACGCUUUCUCUCUCCUCAAGUACACUCUCACUAUUUAUCUCUGGUGCACGCGUUAAAGUCUUCGACUGAACUCAACUGGGAACUGCAACCGAUUGUGAGCCGGGCCCAAGCUAAACUCGCCCAACUCCCGGGCCUCUCCCUAGCCCACUACAACCGUAGCUCAAAUUGCCCCACGGACUGGAUAGCCAAGGCUUGUCGGAACAACUCCUUACCCCCGAACUGGAUAUCAUAUCCCCCUGCUUUAUUUGAUCUUUUAUGCACUGAUGUUAUGGGUGUUAUCUUCCCACAUAUGAAAUAGUAAAUAAAGUGAUGAUGUUUGAUGAUAAAAAAAAAAGGUCAGAGAAAUUAUAAUAUUCUAAAAUCUCACAUCAUAUAUAACCAAUCUUUUAAAUGACUCAUCAAUUAAUAUUCAUAUUGAAAACGACCACCUCCUUAUUUGACUUCUCCAAGUAUUCCUUUUGGGAGAUUUUAGAUGUGAAUUGAGUCAAUUGUUACAAAUGUGGCUUGGCAACAACAAAUUUCUUAUUUUCAAAUAAAUUAACUACACUCGAGGUGGGAGCUUUUGUCAUACCAUAGGUUAAGCAUUUAGUCACUUAUAGUAAUUACUGGAUGAAGCCCGUUGUUACAUCAUACUGCUUUAGUUCAUCGUUGAUCUCUUGGUAAAGACAAACCUUAAUAAUGUUUACAAUUAAUAGGAAAAUUCGUGUUGAUUGAAGAUAGAUAUUGAAGUUGGAUAUUAUAUACACAACAUGCUCAAGAGAGCACCAACAUAAGAUGUGACACGCCAUUCUCUACAAUAAGCUCAACCGCCACCACCAAUUGGUAGGGAAAAUUGUCAAAAAAAAAGUCCAAAACCUAUUACUUUUAUAUCAGUUCCGUUUGACAUUUCAAUUAUGUCAAUUUAGUUCUAAGCUAUUUUGAUGAUUUAUCAAUGUAGUCAUUUUAGAUAAUUUUGAUCGAAAAAUACUGACAUGGUGAUUCAAUCGGCACCAAUCAUCCUACGUGACAGGAUCCGCGAUAUGACUAGAGCAAAUUCAAUUGAAAUGAUGUCAUUUUGCAUUUUAUAUUUAUUUUUUGCUUUUGCUUUUGUGUUUGCUGUUCAUCAUCUUCCAUCCUCUUCUUUCUCUAAGAAAAGUUUCGUUUCUCGACCAAGUCAAGACUCAAUCUUGGAUCCGGCUGCAUCGAACCAGAAAAUGCAGACUUCUUGCUAGCAGAUAUGCUAGAGAGUGCUUUUGCGUCAGAUUGUCUUGCAUACAAUUUUUGCGCUUCAACUUGAAAGCGACGAACUUGAACGUGAGUUGAUUUACUCAUGCGUUAGUUAUAGAUCAUAAUACCGAAAUCGUUUUUAAAGACUUACAAUUCAACUCCAUGUCGCGACGGAGCAAGAGCCCUCCAGAUCUAGGGCUCAAGGUCGAUGUGUGGCGGAGCUCACGAUCUUCCAGCUAGGUUGAGAUCUUGAAGACGCCCGGCUUGACGGCAUUUUCAAACAAUGAUGGAGGAUAGAGUAAGAAGAAGAGCGGUUCGCUUUUUUGCUUCCACAUUCAACAAAGAUGGAGAACAAUGAAAGAAGCAGAUGAAGAGUAAUCUAGGAAAAUAAAAAUCAAAAAUCAAAAUUUAAAAACUUGCAAAAUUUAUAGACGUUGACAUCGAUUAUGUUACAUAUGACAACCGUCGUCUAAAAUUAGUUCAAAUGUCUAUAUUGACAAAUUAUUUAAAAAUUUAUGACUAAAUUGUCAUUAUUGAAUAGUUUAAAUUUGGUAUAAGUGUAAUAAAUUGAGUAUUUUUUGAGUAAUUAUUCCUGAACCAACACAUCCUCUUCUUGUGACCCAAAAGAAGGGCAUCGAUUGGUUUUCCUUUGUUAUGUCAGUCAAAAUAGGAGUCAUUUUUUCCUCUUGGUUGUCCAAUGCCAUGUAAUGAAAUGCAUAAUUGCUGGAUUGAGAGCUUCGGCUUUGUGACAACGAUAACAAUUUGUUCAGAGCAAACGCGUCAAAUCACUCUGGCAUCUCUUAUCUUCACAACUCUCUCCUUGCUACCAUCCUCUCACCUUCCCCCUUUUCUUCAUCGUCAUCAAUCAAAUCCAACUUCAUCUCUCUCCCUCAGCCACAUCCUAGGGGCUCUAAUCGAACUUCUCUUUCCGAUUCCCACCCAUUAGAUUGAUCAGGCUUGUGUGUUCUAUCUUGGGUGAUCUUCUUAACGAGGCAUAUACAUUUUUAAUUUUGUAUAGAAAUAUUCAUUAUGGAUCCUUUUGUGAUCCAUUGCCUUGAAUUGCCUGACUGAAGAGCUAUUUCAUGAAAAGUGAAAUCAAGUGAAAACUUAAUUGGAUUUUGAUUCAAGAAAAUGAUAUAAGUUGACUUUGGUGAGGAAUCAUGUUUUGAUUUUGACAAUUGAGCAUAACAAAAUAUCAAUUUAAUCAUGGAUCGAGUUAAACACUUUAUUAAGCUCAAAAUCUCAAAGUUUCUUGGUGUAAUUCGAGCCGAUUGGAACAAAGUUACUUCCGAAAAUUUCCUUGAGUUCAACCAUCUAACAUUUUUAUUUGCAAAAGAAAAACCUAUGCUUUCUUUGUCUAUUUGCCCAAGCCUACCGAUGCCAAGCCACCAAAGCCUUUAGCCAACAACCAACAUCCAGUCUCUAACCAUCACCACCUAAAAAACUCGGGCGUGCAUUGAAAUCCUAUAAGUCCACUCGAUCUCAUCCAUUGAAAGCCGUGGAUCCCAUGUAGGUGAAGCCUAGGAUCAAGUUGCCUCAUGUGGAUUCUGGCAUGCUUUGCUAUCCACCACUUCCAUGCGCAUGCCUUUGCUCCAAGAGCAUUUCCACCCACCAAUGCGCCUCUCCUGACCUUGGUUUUUUUGUUGUUUUGGCUGUACGUGCUCAGUUUUGAAUUGUACGGAUAGUGUGUCAUUUGUUAACGCAAGAGUUCAGUGAUUUUAGAACAAACCCAGGAUUUCCCUCUCACUCUACUCAUCCCAUAUGCAUAUCGUCGGUCAACCAAGGCCACUAUUCUUGACAAAAAAAAAAAAAAAAAGGCCACUAUUGAUUAGGAAAGGAAGAAAACGAGACCACCACGUACCGCAACACCCACGUGUGGCCCACCCAUGGGCCAAUACCAUCGGCUACCUAAUAAAAAGCUGUCCUAAAAGCGUAACUGAAAUAAUGAUUGAACGCGCAAUCGAGCACUGGUGGCCUUUUGUCAAUCUUGCUGGUGAAGUAACAACUGGGAAUUUCAAGACCAUCAUGAGCUGCGCUCCUUUUGUCUCUUUCUUGGCAGGUUCCGGCACUUUAACCCCACUUCUACGUUCCACCCUCAUAUUUAUUAUUAUAAUAUAUAGUCGUAAAAUAAAAAUUUCGAAGCAUCACCCUUAUCCCAUCCUUGUAUAAAUACUCCUUCCCCCUCCGCACAACCCACAACUUAAACAAAGCGAGAAGCUACCUCAGCUUUCACCUCUCCUCAGUCUCAGCCCAAAACUCAGCUACUACGAUGGCAUCGUUCUUCGCUUCUUCUAAAACAGCUCUUCCAAAGCUAUUCCUCGCCCUCUGCCUCCUCCAGAUAGCCUCCGCCACCAGGAGGCUGGCCGAGCUGGUCCAAGACCAGUCCCCGCCCAUGAAGUACCACAAUGGCCCUCUCCUCUCCGGCCAGAUCUCCGUCAACCUCAUCUGGUACGGCCGCUUCAAGCCCUUCCAGCGCACCAUCGUCUCCGACUUCGUCACCUCCCUCUCCUCCGACCCUUCUUUGGCUCAGGCCCCUCCAUCCGUCUCUCAGUGGUGGAAGACGGUCGACAAGUACUACCGCCUCUCCUCCUCCAAGAGGCGCACUCCUUCCCUCACGCUCUCGCUCGGGAGGCAAGUCCUCGACGAGAGCUACUCCCUCGGGAAGUCCCUCACGAGCAAGCACCUCGUGGAGCUCGCGUCCCGGGGCGAACAGCGGAACGCCAUCAACGUCGUGCUCACCUCCUCCGACGUGGCCGUCGAGGGAUUCUGCAUGAGCCGGUGCGGCUCCCACGACUCCGCCGUCGGUUCCGUCAAGGUCAACGGCAGGAGCUCGAGGUUCGCGUACAUCUGGGUGGGAAACUCGGAGACGCAGUGCCCGGGGCAGUGCGCUUGGCCGUUCCACCAGCCCCUGUACGGCCCGCAGAGCCCACCGCUGGUGGCACCCAACGGCGACGUCGGCGUCGACGGGAUGGUGAUCAACCUGGGAGGCCUCCUCGCCGGGACCGCCACGAACCCGUUCUCGAACGGGUACUACCAGGGCGAGGCGGGGGCGUCACUUGAGGCGGCGUACGCGUGCACGGGGAUCUACGGAAACGGGGCGUACCCCGGCUACGCUGGGAACUUGCUGGUGGAUAAGGCGACGGGGGCGAGCUACAACGCGCACGGCGUGAACGGGAGAAAAUACCUGGUCCCGGCUCUCUACGAUCCGUCCACUUCGUCCUGUUCGACGCUGGUGUGAGGGAAGUGGAGAGAGAUUGAAACGAUGACGUUUAAGCUACCGGACUGAUUCAUUUAUUCGUUUAUUGGUUUUUUUGUUGCUGUAUAUUACGGUCAUUAUAGUUAAUAGAAAAGGCAAGCCACUUUUAUUUGCUACAAUUUUAUUCUCUAGUGCAAAGCAAGCGGGUUAAUCCGUUCUUAAUCUGACGAUUUUAGCUCACUCCUUCAUUAAGUCAGAGAGUUUCUAAAGUCCCAAAAUCUCACAUCACUUAUAAAUAUCCAAUUAAACGACACAUUAAUUAACAUUAACAAUAAACUCCAGAAAGACCACUUUCUUGUAUGGCUAUUCCCAAUAUUCCUUUAGGACGAUUUUAGAUGUGAAUUGAGUCAUUCAUUACAAAUGUGGCUUAACAACAACAAACUUUCUUAUUUUCAUAUAUUAAUCUUAUACUUAACUUCACUUGAGGUUAGGGCUUGUAUUUGGCCUUGUUUGGCAAAAUAUAUUUAUGUUCCUCGGAACAAAAAAUUUAUGUUAUUUUGUUUCGGAGAACAAAAAAAGAAUAAAAACGUGUUUGGUAAAACUUUUGUUCUUGGGAACAAAAAAUCUACUCUUUUGUUCCCGGGAACAGAUUUGGAAUAGAAACAAGAAGUAGAAAAAAGUUGAUUUUUAUUCCCGAAAACAAUUUUGAAAAACACUUCUUUUUCCUUCUUCUUUUUUCUUUCCUUCUCCUUCCUUUUGGCCAGUCGCCAACCUUAAUCAUGGCCGACGACCGGCCAACAAGGGCUGACGACCUCGCUGGAGCGUCAUCGGCCCUCGGCGAGACUGAGCCUCGCCUUGGUUGGGCGAGCUCGAGCUCACCCAAUCGAGCUCGCCUAGCCAAGGCAAGACCGAGCCUUUUCGGGGGUCGGCAACACUUCGGCGAUGUUGCUGGCCCUCAUCAAUCGAUCGCCGACCAUGGUUGAGGUCGGUGACCGACCAAAAGGAAGAAAAAUUAAAAAAAUUAAAAAAAAAUUAAAAGAAACAAUUAAAUUAUACAAGUUUACUAAACGUAUUUCUAUUCCUUGAAUAUAAAUUUUUUGCAGUUAUCAAGCGCGUUCUUAUAUUCAGAAAUUGUUCUUGGAAACAAAAAUAGAAAAAAUUAUUUAUGUUAAAAAAUUAUUCCACUGAAUAGAAACAUUACCAAAUGUGCCCUUAGUUACUUACAUUAAUCAUGGAUGAAGCCCGUCGUUACAUCAUACUCCUUCAAUUCAUCGUUGAUCCACUAAUGAAAACAAUCGUUAAUAAUGUGCACAAUUCAUAAAUUCAUGCCGAUUAAUGAUAAAUAUCAAAGUUUGGACAUUAAUUACAUGAUAAAAUCACGAGUACUGCAUUGCUAACAAACAUAAAAUUUGGAUAAGCACUUAACUAUAGGAGUGAGCAUAGUUCGGGUUGGGCUAGUCCACCCCCUAACCCUAGGACUAACCCGUACAAUAUUGGUCCGAAAUUUUUUGUUUUAUUUUUUGUAUUCCUUGUAAAGGUAAACUUACCAUUUCAAAUUACAUGUCUAUCGAUAAUGCGACAUUAUACAACAGUGUCAUUACAUAUUCAAUGAAUUUAAGAUAAGACAAUAAUAGAAAUUUUUCACCUACUAAAAACAAUAAACCAUAAAAAUGAUUAAUACCGCUCAUAAAAAUAUGGAACAAAAUGGGAAGUUGAUUGGCGAGCAGGGAAGUUCAGUAGGGCGAGAGUUGAGCGGCGAGUGGGAAAGUUGUAUCUUUCAAUUUUGGCAAAUUGAAUAUUAAGAGGACAAAGAAGACAUAAGAGAACAAUUCCUUGAGGAGAACGCCAUGAGGAGCCGUUUAAUGUUGUUGACGUCAUUUGACUUAGGUUUUUCUAAAAAAAAAAAAAAAAAUAUAUAUAUAUAUAUAUAUAUAUUAUAAAUUAGACCGACCUUAAACUCCAAGAAUCAAUAAUCAAUCCAUACAGUGCUGAUUCAAGGGUCUUUGGACUAAGGACCGACUCAGCCCUCUUGGAAACCAGACCAAGACCAACAAAGUUGGGCCGGUCUAAGGUCGGUCCAAGUUAACCCUGGACUGAUGCUUACUCCUACUUAGUUAACAGAACUAUUUCUGACAAUUAGCUUCACCACCACCACCAACUAGCACGUCGUCUCCUCGGAACCCAAAAGGAAGGGUGCUAAGGGUGCGUUUGGUAACAUUUCUGUUUAAAAAUUGUUUUUGGGAAUAGAAAUAGAAAAAAAUAUUUCUGUUUCAGGAAACAAUUUUUGAACAAAAAAACGCGUUUGGUAAAUCUGUUCUAGAAAUAUAAAAAGAAUAAAAACAUGUUUGGUAAAUUUGUAUAAUUUUUUUUAUUUCUUUUAAAUUUUUAAUAUUUUUAUUUUCUUUCUUAUUUUUCUUAUCUAUUUUUCCUUUUUUUUUCUUUUUUCUUUUUUCUUCUUUUGCUCGGUCGCCGACCUCGGCCAUGGCCAACGACCAGUCGACGAGGGCCGGCAGCCUCGCCCAGCCACGGCGAGGCUCACCGGCCCCCGGUAAGGCCAAGCCUCGUUGUAGCUGGGCGAGGCUCGGCCUCGCCUUGGCUGGGCGAACUCGAUCUCGCCCAGAUCCAGCGAGGCCGAGCCUCACCAGCCGCUGGGCGAGCUCGGCCUCGCCAAAUAUGGGCGAGAUUGAGCUCGCCCAGCCCGGCGCUAGGUCGGCCUCGCCAGGGGCCGGUGACGCUCAACCUCGCCAGGGGCUGGCGACGCUCCGGCGAGGUCGCCGGCCCUCGACGGCCCUCGACAACCAAUCGCCAGCCAUGGCCGAGGCCGGCAACUGGCCAAAGAAAAAAGAGAGAAGAAAAUGAAAAAGAGAGAAAAAGUGUUCCUAAAUUUUGUUUCAGAAACAAGAAAUAACUUUUUUUUUGUUUCUUGUUUCCGUUCCAAAUGUGUUUCUGGGAACAAAAAAUAAUUUUGGAACAAAAACGCAGACAAACGCGUUUCUAUUCAUUUUUUGUUCCCAAGAACAAAAAAAUAAAAAUUUGCGUUCCUGAGAACCUAAACACAUUUUAACAAAGAGGCCCUAAUUGGUUGUCCUUGUCCUCUCAGUCAAAACAAGUCUUGUUUUUCCUUUAGCUUUCCACGGCCCUGUAAUGAAAUGCACAAUUGCCGGACCGAGAGCUUUGACUUUGUGCUAAUGAAAGCGCCUCGUUAACAAGCAAACACGUCAAAUCAUGUUGUCUCUCGUCUUUAGAUCACCGCUUUUGCCUCGUUACCAUCCUCUCACCAUCUCCAUUUCCUUCAUCGGUAUCAUUCAUAUCUAACUUCAUUUCUCUCACUCAACGACAUCCUAAUGGCUUCCAUCGACCCGUCUUUUUCUCACUCCCACCCAUUAGAUUGAUCAAACACAUGUGAUCCACCUUAGGUAAUAUUCUUAAGAGGUUAUCGUGGGUCCGUUUGAUAACGUUUUCAUUUCAGGAAAUAAUUUUCUUUUAGAAAUAAUCUUUUUCUAUUUCUAUUCUUUGAAAUAAUUUCUCAAUAAAAAAAUAUAUUUGGUAACUAUAAAAAAUUUCUAUUCCCGAAAUGAAAAAAGAAUAAGAAUGUGUUUGGUACGAUUCACAAAAAUUUUUAUAAUGUAGAAUUUUUUUUUUUUAAUUCUUCCUUACCACAGUCGACUGCUGACCUUAGUCCAUCGCCACCCAUUGCUGACCCCUGUGGCCAAUGAUCACUGACGACCCUGCUCGCUGCGGUUGACUAUCGAUCAGCCGGUGACGGCUAUUGAUCGGCCAAUCAAUGGGCGGUGGCGGUGGUGUUAGCGAUCAUCGUUGGUCGUCAGUGGCAAGCCACAGUGACAACGGUCAGCAAUGACGGCAACCAUAGCAGGCGGCAAAGGGGGGUGGUGGCCGUCAAAUAAGAAGAAAAAUGAGAAAAGAAAAAAAAAAGAAAAGAGAAAAUAACUUAUUUCUAGAAAUUGUUUCUGGGAACAAGAAGUUACUUUUUUCUACUUCUUAUUUAUAUUAUAAAUUUAUUCCCCGGCCACUUUUCUAUUUCAGGGAAUAAAAAAUUAUUGACGUUACCAAACAGAUCUUUAUUUUUAUUUUUUGUUCCAAGGAACAUAAUAAUGUAAAUUUGGAGAAAUAGAAUUGUUACCAAAUAGGGCUUAUAUAUGCAUGUUCGUUUGUAUUAAAAUAUUCAAUCUAUGGCCUUUGGCGAUUUAUUGCCUUGGAUUGUUAGAUUGAAGAUGGGAAUCAUGAAAAGAAAUGUUGGCCGAGAACUCAGUUGGAUCUUGGUUUAGGAAUAGGAUGUAGGUUGACCUUGAUGGGGAUCCUGUUUUGACUUCAACUAUUGAGCGAAACAAAUUGUAAAUUGGCUCAUCGAUCCAGUAAAACACUCUUUUGGGCUUGAAGUCUCAAAGUUUCAUUGUAUAAUUCAAGCCUACUUGAACACAAUUACUUCUAAGAGUUUCCUUGAGUUCAACCAACGAACAUUUUAACACUGUAAAGAAGAAGAAGAAGAAGAAGAAGAAGAAGAAGAAGAAGAAGAAGAAGAAGAAGAAGAAGUAUGCUCUCCCUAUCGGUUUGCCCAAGCCCACCGACGCCAUACCACCAACCUUCAACCAACACCCAAUAUCCUCUACCUCGAAAAACUCUCUAGUGCAUUCGAAUUAUAUAAGCCCACUCAAUCACAUUGUUUAAAAGAUGUGGGUGCGAUGUAGGUCACACCCAGGAUCAAGUGGCCUCGUCCCACCACUUGCACAAGGGGUGAGCAUGAUUCUAAAGUAUGACCUGGAAUUUGAGAACCAGAUCAAUAGAAAUCUGUUCAGUUCAGAUUUCAAGAUAUGCAUGAUAAGUUUCAGGUUUAAAAAAUUAGAGAACCUCUUUUGAGAGAUAGAUUCCAAGUUCUAGGUCGAUGGAAUUAGGAACUUGUACAUAAAACUUGGAAUUAGUUUUUGCAUUUUUCUUGAUCCAUGUCUUCAUUGAUCGUAGGGUGUUUCAUGGCAUUCGAUGAUAAAUGUAUAAUUUGAAAUCACUAAUGGAGCUUCCAUUUUAUGUCUAAAACUUUUAUUUUCUUAAUGUUUCAUAUUUUUCAUGUGUUUAAAUAUAAAUUGUUAUUAAUGAAUUGUAGUAAUAAGUAGUAGUCAUUAAAGUCACUACAAUCAUUCAAUUAAUAAUAUAGGUAGAGCUUGGAUAGAACUUAGAACCGAGCUUGGAACCUGUAACAAGAUAGGUAAUGUUCCAGCAUAUACCUACAGGUUCCAAGAAAUGAGGAACUUAUUCCGUAAAUAGCACUGACACCGACAUGUGGCACGCAACACAUGACGCAACAUGCUGAUACGUCGUUUCUAAAAAAAUAGAGAAUUUUAAUACAUUAUGACACAUUAUGCAUUAUACAUGAUAAAUUUUAUUUUUAUGAUUAUUUUAAUUGAAUUAAUUUGAUUCAAAUUCACAAAUAAAUAAAUAAUAAAAAGGAGCAAAGAGUAAAUUUACACUAAAAAUAUUAACCCGCGAUUUGUCAAUAUCAUUUAUUGUUUUAAUUUAACAUAUUCAACUUUUAAAAAUUGGAGAAAAAAAAAGCAAUUUAUAUUCUAAACUUGCGUGUUAGAGCAUGUCCAAAGAAAAGAGAAACAAAUAAACUUGGAGGAUAAAUUAUGUGUCACAGAAAGUGAAAGUUAGAAAAUAAAAGAGACUAGGUUUUUCUUCUUUUCCAUUUAUUAUUAUUUUAAAAAAAAAUUGAUCAUGUACGUAUCGAAAUUUCGAAUCGCAUGUCAGAAUUUCAAAUUAGCGUGUUGAAGAGUAUCAAAAAAGUUGACAAUGUAUUGGAUUUUUCAAUACUUGUUGAUUGAGUGUCGAACACAUGCUGGAGUGUUUAAUAUAACACGAAAGCUCUCGAAGAGUGUCAAUGCUUUCUAACACAUUUCAACACGUAUGUUUUAAAUUCAAGAUAGAACUUGUGUGAAAUCUAAAACUGUUUACCCUUAUACGUACUUUUGCUUUAAUACCAUUUCCACCCACUUGUGCGCCUCUUGUAACCUUUUCUCUCUCUCUCUCUCUCUCUAUAUGUCUCUAUUUUAAAUUAUAUGGAUGAUAUGUCUUAUGUUAGUGCUAAAGUUAAGAUGAUUUUAAAACAAAUUUAAACUUUCGGUCACACAAUUCAAUUCCCACGCAUGACGUUAUCCCUUUCACCGUACUCAUCCCAUAUACGCAUCAUCGGUCAAACGAAGGCCACCACGUGGCGCAAAAUCCACGAGUGUCCCGUGCAGGGGCCAAUAUUAUCGACCGCCAUUUGAGGCCGACAAAGCCGCUAUAUCUUCAAGCAUAAGUCAGCCGACUAUUGCAUCCACCACCGCGUCUCUUAUACCAAAAUUACCAAAAAAAAAAAAAUUAAACUUAUCACACCCAUACCAAUUCAAUUUUAAAUAUUUUAACUUGAUCAAUUUUACCAACAUAAUCCAUUCAACCAUUUACUAGAAAUAGUUUAUGCGGAUAUCGGUUGUAUUCUGUGAUAUAAUUAGCACUGAUAUGAAUAAAUUUUAUAAAUCAUUAUUAUUUUUGUUUCUAAAUUUUGCUUUAUGUAUAUUUUAUUUUAUUACUCUAUUUUUAUUCUCUCUAUCAAUUGCCGGACCUCGGCAAUGUUCGGUGACAAACCAAGGCAAUGAUCUGCGAGGACCCUCGUCGAAGGCCAACAAGGGUCGACCAAGGCCAAGCUUACUUCGAGGGAUACUUGCUUUUGCCAAUUUGGCAAGGGGCAUAUGAGGUUAUGACCUUGCCAAUCAUCUCUAGUGGCUGGUCCCUAUCUCCAAGGCUCGAUGAUUGGUGGAGGAAGACGAAAAGAAAAGAAAAGAAAAGAAGAGAAAAAUAUAUUUAGAAAUUUAGAAAAAAAUAACAAAAAUUGCAUAAAGUGUCACAUCAGUGACAUGAUUCAAUUGAUGAAUUUAAAGAUUUUAGAAUUAAAUUAGUAUACAUAUAAUAAAUUUAAAUUUUUUUUAGUAAUUACUCUCACCACAGUUUCACGUUCCUCUGCACAAAUUUGCGACUUAGUCUUGUUGCCCCACCGACCAUCCCUUAAUUGCAUCACAAACCGACCCACUUCUAUUAAUUAUAUUGGAUGCGCGUAAAUCAAGAAAUGUCCAUGGCCAUAAUAAUAAUUAGAGAAUAACGUUUCGUUUUUUUCAAUAAAUUUUUUGAAAAAGCCCUACCGCCCUUCUCCGAGGCUAAAGAGGAAGAUCAGUGAAAGGUCAGUUUCGUCCAUUCAACUGUAGCUAAGAUGGUUUUUUUUUUUUUUUUUUUGGUCAAAGGUAAGCUGGAUUGCAUUGCCCACUCUCUGUUUGAAUUUCAGCUGACAGCUCGCAAAAAAGGAGCUAUUAUAUUUAGCCUGAAUUCCAACAUAGAGUCCCAUCGCAAAGACAGGUUCCGCUCCUUUUGCGCCCAUGUCCACUUCCAUUAAUCAAUUUUUUCUGAUCAAUUUAAACACGAGAGAUGUUAAGAGAUAGAAAUAUGUCAUACCAUUUGAUAGUGAAAUUGAUAUGUUUUUUAUAUAUAUGUGUGUUAUCCUUUUGCCUAUCAAUUUAAGUUUUUAAUUAAGGCUUUUUAAUAAUUUGAUUUUAGAAAAAAUUUAAGAAAAUUCGAUGUAAAUUAUUUUGUUCAAAACAUCAAUUGCAAAAGGUACAUUAAGCAUUAUCAUGUUUUUGUGAUUGGUUUCCUAAAAAGCUGUCUUGAGAGCGUAAAUGAUGACUUUACGCGUAGUCGGGCACCAGUGGUCUUUUGUCAAUCUUGCUGGUGAAGUUGCAACUGGGACUUUCAAGACCAUCAUGAGCUGCCCUCCGUUUGUCUCUUUCCAGGCAGGUUCCGGCGCUUUAAUCCCCUACUACGUUCCCCACUUCAUAUUAAUUAUUAUAUUAUAAUAUAUAGUCGUACAAUAAAAUAAUCAAAGCAUCAUGCCAUCACCCUCGUCCCACCCUUGUAUAAAUACUCCUCCUCCCUUCGACACAGCCCACAUCUUAAACAAAGCUACCUCUGCUUUGACCUUUCCUCUUUCCUCAGUCUCAGCCCAAAACUCAGCUACAAUGGCAUCCUUCUUCGCUUCUAACACAGCUCUUCCAAAGCUGUUCCUCGCUUCUAACACAGCUCUUCCAAAGCUGUUCCUCGCCCUCUGCCUCCUCCAGAUGGCCUCCGCCACCAGGAGGCUGGCCGAGCUGGUCCAAGACCAGUCCCCGCCCAUGAAGUACCACAGUGGCCCUCUCCUCUCCGGCAAGAUCUCCGUCAACCUCAUCUGGUACGGCCGCUUCAAGCCUUCCCAGCGCACCAUCGUCUCCGACUUCGUCACCUCCCUCUCUUCCGACCCCUCUUUGGCUCAGGCCCCUCCUUCCGUCUCCCAGUGGUGGAAGACGGUCGACAAGUACUACUACCUCUCCUCCUCCAAGAGGCACGCUCCCUCUCUCACGCUUUCCCUCGGGAGGCAAGUCCUCGACGAGAGCUACUCGCUAGGGAAGUCCCUCACGAGCAAGCACCUCGUCGAGCUCGCGUCCCGGGGCGAACAGCGGAACGCCAUCAACGUCGUUCUCACCUCCUCCGACGUGGCCGUCGAGGAAUUCUGCAUGAGCCGGUGUGGCUCCCACGACUCCGCCGUCGGUUCCGUCAAGGUCAACGGCAGGAGCUCGAGGUUCGCGUACAUCUGGGUGGGCAACUCGGAGACGCAGUGCCCGGGGCAGUGCGCGUGGCCGUUCCACCAGCCCCAGUACGGCCCGCAGAGCCCGCCGCUGGUGGCGGCCAACGGGGACGUUGGCGUCGACGGGAUGGUAAUCAACCUCGCGGGCCUCCUCGCCGGGACCGCCACGAACCCGUUCUCGAACGGGUACUACCAGGGCGAGGCGGGGGCGUCGCUGGAGGCGGCAUCGGCGUGCACGGGGAUCUACGGCAACGGGGCGUACCCGGGCUACGCUGGGAACUUGCUGGUGGAUGAGGCGACGAGGGCGAGCUACAACGCGCACGGCGUGAACGGGAGAAAGUACCUGGUCCCGGCUCUCUACGAUCCAGCCACGUCGUCGUGUUCGACUCUGGUGUGAGGGAAUUGGCGACGGAUAGAAACGAUGACGUUUAGGCUACCAGAUUAAUUCAUUCAUUCUUUUAUUGGUUUUGUAGUUGCUCCAUAGUAUUGUCAUUAUAGUUAAUGAAAAAGGCAAACCACUUUUAUUUGCUACAAUUAUGUGAGCCAUUGCAAAGCAACCGGACUAAAUCCACGCUUAAUCUGAGGAGUUCAGCUCUUCAAUCACACAUUUCAAUAAACCGACCGGGCUAAUUACACCAUUUGUGGAAGAAAAGACCAUUACGUAGUGUGAAUGUAUGCUCUAAUUACCGAUUUAGUUUUUGGGGGAACAGAUGGAGGGGCUUAGGUCGAGGGAGCGUGAGAAGUCCAUUAUUAAUUCUGGCGUAAGUCAUUGGUUAUGGCAAAAGGCACAUGGGAUUAGAACUCUCACUUUUCUAAGUGGAAAUGCUGCAUAUAACACGAACCUUACUUAACUUAACAGUAAUCCAAAAUGAUCAUAACUUUAUGUUUUAUUCAAAUUAUUGCUAUUAGGUGCUCAUCGUCGUGGAAAUAGUUAAAGUUGUUAUAUAUGGUUUCUAAACGACAAGGUGCGAUCCUCCUCACAAACCCCUAGGGAGACAAAGAUCUGAAUUGAGUCAUUUGUUACAAAUGUGGCUUGACCACCGCAGACUUUCUUAUUUGCAUGUAAAUUAGUCAUAUACUUAACUACACUUGAGGGAGGAGCUUCUAUCAUACCAUGAGUUAAGCAGCGAAACUCACAAAUCUAGCUAGUCUGAGGGCGGCGAGUCUAAUGGUGGUGUUGACCUCUCAAAAUGACAUGUGAAAGGUCGAGAAUUGGAGGGCAAAAUGCUAGCCACCAAUGCGGCCAGCUUGCAAAAUAGUAAGUGAGCAACACAGCCUAUACAACUAGUGUUGUAGCAUCAAGUGGCUUAUACGAUUGAUUUGGGAAAUUAGUUAUUGAGCAAUGUGCCCUCUACAACUAGCAUUAAAUAAAAAGUCACGUCUAUGAUAAAGACUCAACUAGGCAAUGUGACCAGCAUAGUUGGUGUCCAAACAUGAUCAUUGUGGAAUGGAUUGGAUUAAGUGCUUCCUAAAAUUGGAUUUGUGCGCACGAAAUGAACACUAUUGAUUUUUGAGUGGUAGGGAUGGAUGAUUUAUUUAAGUGUGCAUUAGGGUGCUCGAGGAGCAUGGGUGCAUCUGUGCAAAGUAGGGGUGUCAAUGGUUCGGUUCGGUUCGAUUUUUUUGAAAAACCGAACCGUUAGAAAAAUCUUCCGAACCGAACCGAAUACGAACCGAACCUUUUGGUUCGAUUUUUCAGUUUUUGGUUUUUAACCUUUGGUUUUCGAUUUUUGUUUUUUUUUUCCUGUUAAACUCAUAUUUCUCUACUUUUAUUUGUUGGUUCGGUUUAGUUCGGUUAACCGAUAAAAACCGAACCGAACCGAAAAAUUUUGGUUUUAAUGAAAACCGAACCGAAUGAAAACCAAACCGAAAAAAACCGAAUUUUUCGAUUCGGUUUUCGGUUCAGUUACUGACACCCCUAGUGCAAAGUGUACCUAAUGUGGUAGGGUUGCCUUAACAAAGUGGUUUUGAUACCAAGUUAAAAACAAUAAUAAUAAUAAAAAAACUCCAAAUUAGUACAUCCGUAACAAAUUUACUUUAAACUACUUAUUUGACACUAAAAUUCCAAAUUGGUACACAUGUAACAAAUUUAUCCUCCAUUAAAUUUCGUUAAAUUUAACCAUCAAAAUACUAAGUUAAAUGAUAUGCAAUAAUUAAUGGGUGUACCUACUUGAUGUCUUACUAUUAAUUUGUCACAGAUAUAUUAGUUUGUGGUUUUUCAUGGUAUUACUAUAAUUCAAUGGAAACUAAAGGAGAGUGCAUUUGUCACAAAUGUACCGAUUUGGAGUUUUUUAUGGUAAAAAAAUUAAUUUGGAAUAAAUUUGUCAUGAAUGUGUAAUUUUGGGGUUUUUAAUGGUAAAAAAAUUAGUUUAGAAUAAAUUUAUUUUAGGCGUAAUAAUUUGGACUUUUUCAUGGUAUUAACCUAAAAUAAUAAUGCAAAAGAGAAAUUUGAGGAACUUCUAUAUAUAGUUUGAUUUAUAGGAAAUAGUACCUAGAGAGUUUAUUUAUAGGCUUUAAUAGAUGACUAUAUAAGAAAAAUAGAUUAGACAUGCAUAAUCAACAUAGAUUAAAAAAAAAAUAGAGGAAAUAUCCUAAAUAUAACUAAAAGAUAUAUACAUAUCUCUAACAUCAUCGUGGAUCUACCGUAGCAACAACUAUUAACAAUGUCUAUAAUUCUCAGGAAAAUUCAUGUCAAUUAAUGAUAGACAUCGAAACUUGGACAUGAGAUAAAUGGCACGGCAUGCUCAAAAGAGCUCAUUUGCUAACCAAUUAAAAAUGAGGACUCGCACUUCAGCUAACACGCCCAUUCUUGACAACUGGCUCCACCUCCACCGCCACCGCCACCGCCAACGCCAACUAGCAUGUCUUCUUCUUGCGACCCAAAUGGAAGGGCACUGAGUGGUUUUGUCCUUGUUCUCUCAGUCAAAACAAGAGUCUCGUUUUUCUCGGCUGUCCAAUGCCCUGUAAUGAGAGAAAUGCCCAACUGCUGGACCGAGAAAUUUGACUUUUUGCCAACGAAAGCAAUUCAUUAACAAGCAAAUGUGUCAAAUCAAGCUGGCCUCUCUUGCCUUUACUUCAACAUUCCCUCCUCACCACCAUCCUCUCACCUUCGCCCUCUCCUUCGUCGUCAUCACUCAAAUUCAACUUCAUUUCUUUCGCUAAGCCACGUCCUAGGGGCUCCAAUCCACCUUCUGUUUCUCUGUCCCACCCAUCAGAUUAAUCAGACCCAUGCAUUCCACAAUAAUCUUCUUAAUGGGGGGUUUUUGUAUAUGCAUUUUUUCUUGUAUAGAAAUGUUCACUUUGUGGCCCUUCUUCAAUCUAUUGCCUUGAAUUGUUUGAAUAAAGAGCUGAAGCAUAAAAACUGAAAUAGGAUGAGGUGUCGUAUGUUAUUGUUGGUGCAAGAGUUUAGGUGAUUUUAGGACAAACCCAAUAAAAAAUGAGGACUCGCACUUUAGCUAACAGGCCCAUUCUUGACAAUUGGCUCCACCACCACCACCACCACCGCCAACUAGCAUGUCUUCUUCUUGCGACCCAAAUGGAAGGGCACUGAGUGGUUUUGUCCUUGUUCUCUCAGUCAAAACAAGAGUCUUGUUUUUCUCGGCUGUCCAAUGCCCUGUAAUAAGAGAAAUGCCCAACUGCUGGACCGAGAGAUUUGACUUUUUGCCAACGCAAGCAAUUCAUUAACAAGCAAAUGUGUCAAAUCAAGCUGGCCUCUCUUGCCUUUACUUUACCAUUCCCUCCUCACUACCAUCCUCUAACCUUCCCUCUCUCCUUCGUCGUCAUCACUCAAAUCAAACUUCAUUUCUUUCGCUCAGCCACGUCCUAGGGUCUCCAAUCGACCUUCUCUUUCUCAAUCCCACCCAUUAGAUUAAUCAGACCCAUGCAUUUUAUCUCGGGUAAUCUUCUUAAUCGGGUUUUUUGUAUAUGCAUUUUUUCAUGUAUAGAAAUGUUCAUUUUGUGGCCCUUCUGCGAUCUAUUGCCUUGAAUUGUUUGAAUAGAGAGCUGAAGCAUAAAACGGAAAUCGGAUGAAAAUUUGGUCGGAUCUUGGUUUGAGAAAAUGAUAUUAGUUGACCUUGGGGAGGGAUCCUAUUUAGAUUUAUACCAUUGAAUGUAACAAAAUCUCAAUUGGACCUCGUUAAAUAUUCUAGCUCAAAGUCUUAAAGUUUCUUUGUGUAAUUAGAACCAAUUUGAACACAAUUACUUCUAAAAGUUUCAUUGAGUUCAACUAUCUAAGAUUGCAAAUAAAAAAGGAAAAAAUAAAACUAUGCUCUCUCUAACCAUCUGCCCAAUCCUACCAACGUCAUGCUUUAGCCAACACUCAAUAUCCUCUGCGUCCAACCAUCACUAUUUAGGAAACUUCUCGGGUGCACCGAAAUCCUAUUAGCCCACUCAAUCUCAUUCUUUGAUAGUUGCGGUUCCCAUGCAAGUUACGCCUAAAAUCAAGUGGCCUCAUGUCGAUUGCGGCACAUUUUGGGUGUGCAUUACAAAAUUUAUGAAACAAAAAUUGAUUUCUGGCUAGAAAUUGAGAAAUUAAAAAUUUUAACUUCUGAUUUUUUAUUCAAAUUUAUUUAUGGAAUAGAAAUCUGUUCCAAAAAUAAAAAAAAUCAAAUUGCGUUAUCAAAUGAAUUUCCGUUCCAAACUUAUUCUGAAGAACAGAGAAACAGAGAAAUAGAGAAGUAUAAAUUUUAUCAUUCGCGCUCUUUGAAUGGCUCCACAUCCUCUGACAAUUCUGGCCUCAUCCGACCAUUUCCACAGACAUGCUUGUGCUUUGAGACCAUUUCCACCCACCUAUGCGCCUCUUGUAACCUUAGUUUUUUUUUUUUUUUUGCUGUCUGUGCUCAGUUAUGAAUAAUAUGGGUGAUGUGUCAUAUGUUGGAGCAAGAGAUUUUAGGACAAACCCAAACUUUCGGUCAUACUACACAUUUCCCACGCAUUACAUUAUCCCUUUCCCUUUACUCAUCCCAUAUCCCAUAUAUAUAUAUAUAUAUAUCAUCGGUCAACCAAGGCCGCUAUUUACAAAAAGAAAAAAAAAAUACCAAGACUGCCACGUAGCGCAACACCCGCGAUUGUGGCCCAGCAUGGGCCAAUACUAUCGGCCACCUCUUAAAAAGUCGUCCUAGGAGCGUAAAUGAAAUGAUGAUUGAACGCGUAGUCCAGCACCAGUUGUCAUUUGUUUAUCUUCCUGGUAAAGAUGCAACUGGGAAUGUCAAGACCAUCAUGGGCUGCCCUCCUUUCGUCUCUUUCCAGGCAGGUUCCAGCACUCUAACCCCACUUCUACGAGAAAAUAUUAUAAUAUAUAGUCGCAAAAUAAAAUAAUCGAAGGCUCACCCUCAUCCCAUCCUUGUAUAAAUACUACUCCUCCCUUCAACACAAUCCAUAACUUAAACAAAGCGAGAAGCUACCUCAGCUUUCGCCUUUCCUCUUUCCUCAGUCUCACCCCAAAACUCAGCUACUACGAUGGCAUCGUUCUUCGCUUCUUCUAAAACAGCUCUUCCAAAGCUGUUCCUCGCCCUCUGCCUCCUCCAGAUGGCCUCCGCCACCAGGAGGCUGGCCGAGCUGGUCCAAGACCAGUCCCCGCCCAUGAAGUACCACAAUGGCCCUCUCCUCUCCGGCAAGAUCUCCGUCAACCUCAUCUGGUACGGCCGCUUCAAGCCUUCCCAGCGCACCAUCGUCUCCGACUUCGUCACCUCCCUCUCCUCCGACCCUUCUUUGGCUCAGGCCCCUCCUUCCGUCUCUCAGUGGUGGAAGACGGUCGACAAGUACUACCACCUCUCCUCCUCCAAGAGGCGCACGCCUUCUCUCACCCUCUCGCUCGGGAGGCAAGUCCUCGACGAGAGCUACUCGCUAGGGAAGUCCCUCAUGAGCAAGCACCUCGUGAAGCUGGCGUCCCGGGGCGAACAGCGGAACGCCAUCAACGUCGUGCUCACCUCCUCUGACGUGGCCGUCGAGGGGUUCUGCAUGAGCCGGUGCGGCUCCCACGACUCCGCCGUCGGUUCCGUCAAGGUCAACGGCAGGAGCUCCAGGUUCGCGUACAUCUGGGUGGGAAACUCGGAGACACAGUGCCCUGGGCAGUGCGCGUGGCCCUUCCACCAGCCCCAGUACGGGCCGCAGAGCCCGCCGCUGGUGGCGCCCAACGGGGACGUCGGCGUCGACGGGAUGGUGAUCAACCUGGCAGGCCUCCUCGCCGGGACCGCCACGAACCCGUUCUCGAACGGUUACUACCAGGGCGAGGCGGGGGCGUCGCUGGAGGCGGCAUCGGCGUGCACGGGGAUCUACGGCAACGGGGCGUACCCGGGCUAUGCCGGGAACUUGCUGGUAGAGGAGGCGACGGGGGCGAGCUACAACGCGCACGGCGUGAACAGGAGAAAGUACCUGGUCCCGGCUCUCUACGAUCCGUCCACAUCGUCCUGUUCGACGCUGGUCUGAGGGAAGUUGAGACAGAUUGGAACGAUGACGUUGAGGCUCCCAGAUUGAUUCAUUCAUUCGUUUAUUGGUUUUUUUUUUUUUUUUUGGGGGGGGGGGGGGGGGGGUUGUAUAUUACAGUCACUGUAGUUAAUAGAAAAGGCAAGGCAAGCCACUAUUAUUUGCUACAAUUUUAUUCUCUAGUGAAGCAAGCGGGUUAAUCCAUUCUUAAUUUACGAUUUUAGCUCCACUCCCGCUAGUGUUGAUUAUUUAUUAGAGAGUUUGUAAAGUCCCAAAAUGUCACGUCACUUAAAAAUAUCCAAUUAAAUGACACAUCAGUUAACAUUAAAAUUUAUCUCCAGAUAAAUCACUUUCUUGUAUGGCUGCUCCCAAUAUUCCUUUCAGACGAUUUUAGACUUGAAUUGAGUCAUUCAUUACAAAUGUGGCUUACCAACAACAAACUUUCUUUUUUUCAAAUAUAUUAAUCUUAUACUUUACUUCAUUUGAGGUUAGGGCUUGAAUCUGGCCUUAAAUAAGUAAUCUUGGAUGAAGCCUGUCAUUACAUCAUACUCCUUCAAUUCACCAUUGAUUCACUAAUAGAAACAACCAUUAAUAAUGUCUACAAUUCAUAGGAAAUCCAUAUUGAUUGAUGAUAAACAUCAAAGUUUGGACACUAAUUACAUGACAUAGUCAGGAGAACUGCAUUGCUGACAAACAUUAAAUGUGGAUCAGCACUUAGCUAACAGAACUAUUCUCAACAAUUAGCUCCAUCACCACCACCAACUAGCACGUCGUCUUCUCGCAACCCAAAAGGAAUGGUACUAACUGGUUUGUCCUUGUUCCUUUCAGUCAAAACAAGUCUUGUUUUUCCCUUAGCUUUCCAAGGCCCUGUAAUGAAAUGCAUAAUUGCUGGACCGAGUGCUUUGACUUUGUGCUAACGAAAGCGCUUCAUUAACAAGCAAACGCGUCAAAUUACGUUGUCUCUCUUGUCUUUAGAUCACCACUCUCUCCUCAUUACUAUUCUCUCACCUUCCCCAUUCCUUCAUCGCAUCAAUCAGAUCUAAGUUCAUUUCUCUCGCUAAGCGACAUCCUAAUGGCUUCAAUCGACCUUCUUUUUCUCACUCCCACCCAUUAGAUUGAUCAAACCUGUGCGAUCUAUCUUGGUAAUGUUCUUAAGGGGUUAUUAUAUAUGCAUGUUCUUUUGUAUUAAAAUAUUCACUUUAUGGCCCUUUGGCGAUCUAUUGCCUUGGAUUGUUAGAUUAAAGUGGGGAAUCAUGAAAAGUGAUGUUGGCCAAGAAAUCGGUUGGAUCUUGGUUUAGAAAUAGGAUGUAGGUUGACCUUGAUGGGGAUCCUAUUUUGAUUUUAACUAUUGAGCGUAACAAAAUCUAAAUUGAUUCGUCAAUCUAGUUAAACACUCUUUUGGGCUCAAAGUCUCAAAGUUUCCUUGUAUCAUUCAAGCCUCCUUGAACACAAUUACUUCUAUGAGUUUCCUCGAGUUCAAUCAACAUUUUAACCCUGCAAAAAAGAAUAAGAAGAAGAAGAAGCAAAAUUAUGCUAUCCCUAUCAGUUUGCCCAAGUCCACUGAUGCCACGCCACUAAACCUUCAACCAACACUCAAUAUCCUCUGCCUCGAAAAACUCUCUUCUCAUCGCUUGAAAGAUGUGGGUGCGAUGCAAGUCACACCUAGGAUUAAGUGGCCUCAUUCCACUAUUUGCACGUGGGGGUGAGCAUGAUUUUGAGAUAGAACCUGGAACCUUAGAAUCAGACUGAUAGGAACCCGUCCAAUUCUAGGUUCCAAUAUAUAUAGGGUGGGUUAUACUUUAAAAAAUUAAGGAACCUAUUUCGAUGAGUAGAUUUCAAGUUCUAAAUUGAUAAACCUAGAACUUGUAACAUAAAAUUUGGAAUAUUUUUUUGUGUUUUUCUUAAUCUAUGUCGUCACGUGAUCAUAAGGUAUUCCAUUGUGUUCGAUGAUAAGUGUAUAAUCUAGAAUCACUAGUCGAGCUUCCGUGUUAUGAUUGAAAUUUUUACUUUAUUAAUAUUUUUUCGUGUGUUUAAAUAUAAGUUAUGAUCAGUAAAUUGUAACAGUAAAUGAUGAUAAUUAAAUGUUAUUAUUCACUGUAAACGUUCAACUAAUAAUACAAGUGGAACUUGGGUAAAACCUAUAAUCGAUCUUGAAGCCUGUGACAAGAUAGGUUCUAGACUCCAGAAUAUGCAGGGUAAGUUCAAGGUUUCAAAAAAUUAGGAACCCCUUCCCUAAGUAGCAUCAACAUUGACAUGCAAGAUACGACACGAGACGAGAUGUUGACACAUCAUUUUUCAGAAAAAUAGAGAAUUUCGAUAUAUGGGGAUACGCUAUAUAUUAAAUGUAUAUUUUUAUAUAUACAUGAUAAAUUUUUAUUUUUAUGAUUAUUUUAAUCAAAUUAAUUUGAUUUAAAUUCACAAAUAAAUAAAUAACAAAUAGAGCGUAGAAUGAAUUUACACUAAAAAAAAGUAACCCGUAAUUUGUUAAUGUUAUUCAUUGUUUCAAUUUGACAUAUUCCAUUUUAUUCCAAUAAUCUAUCAAACUUGAAGGAAAAAAAAAAAAAGUAAUUCAUAUUUUGGACUCGCAUGUGUGUCAGAAGAAAAGGAAAAAAUAAACUUAGGAGGUGAGUUGUGCGUCAUGGGAAAUUAGAAUCAGAAAUGAAAAGGAGACUAAGUUCUUUUUCCUUCCCCUUUAUUAUUUUUAUUAUUUUUUACAUAUUUACAUUUUUUAUUGAAAUUUUUUAAAUUGAUCCCAUGUAUGUCGGAAUUGUGAAUUGCAUAUCAAAAUUUCGGACUCACAUGUCGGAAAGCGUCGGGAAAAUUAACUAUAUGUUGGAUUUUUCAAUAUCUAUUGAUUAAGUGUUAUACAUGUAUUGAAGUGUCUGACAUAACAUGAAGGCUUCUAAAGAGUGUCGAUGCUUCUUUCAACUAGUAGAUUCCAUGUUCCAGAUGAAACCUACGUAGAAUCUGAAACUGUUCACCAUUACAUAUGCCUUUGCCGCAAGACCAUUUCCACCCAUCUAUGCGCCUCUAGUAGCUUCUUCUUCUUCUUCUCUCUCUCUCUCUCUCUCUCUCUCUCUAUAUGUCUCUGUUUUAAAUUAUAUGGAUGAUGUGCCAUAUGUUAGUGCUAGAGUUAAGAUGAUUUUAAAACAAAUUCAAAUUUUCGGUCACCCAAUACAAUUCCCAUGCAUUACAUUAUCCCUUUCACUUUACUCAUCCCAUAUACACAUCAUCAGUCAAACGAAGGCCACCACGUAGCGCAAAACCCACAAGUGUCCCAUGCAGGGGCCAAUAUUAUCAACCACCAUUUCAGGCCGACAAAGCCGCCAUAUCUUCAAGCAGAAGUCAGCCGACUAUUGUCUCCACUACCACUUCUCUUACACCAUAAUUACAAUAAUAAUAAUAAUAAUAAUAAUAAUAAUAAUAAUAAUAAUAAUAAUAAUUGAACUUAUGCAAAUUCAAAUUUAAACGUUUUAAUUUGACCAAUUUAGUUCUAAAUCAUUGAAAAAUUUGCCAAUAUAAUUAAUUUAAUCAAUUUUGAUUGGAAAUCGCCACGUGGAUGUCGGCUACUCACGUGAUGCAAUUUCCUUUCUCUCUUUAAAAAAAAAAAAAAAAUUCUUUCUCUGUCUAUUGCCAGACCUUGGCAACGGUAUGCAACCAACCCAAGGCAACAACCGGCGAGGACCCUUGUCGAAGGCCGACAAGGGUCAACCAAGGCCAAGCUCACUUUGAGCGAGACUUGCUUUCGCCAAAUCUAGCGAAGGGCAACUGAGUAUAUGACCUUGCCAAUCAUCUCUAGUGGCUGGUCCUUGGCCAUCACGAAGACUCGACGACUAGUAAAGAAAGAAGGAAAGAAAAGAAAAGAAGAGAAAAAUAUAAUUAUAUUUAUAAUAAAAAUGAUAUAAAUUGUCCAUAUUAGUGAUACGACUCGAUUGGUGAAUUUCAAAAUUUUAAGAGUAAAUUAAUAUAAAUAUAAUAAGUUUAGAACUUUUUUGUAAUUACUUCCGCCACCUUUCCCCACUGCACAAAUCUGCAACUUAGUCUUGCCACCCCGCCGACCAUCUCUUAAUUGCAUCACAAACCGAGUCACUUCUAUUAAUUAAAUUGGAUGCACGUAAAUCAAGAAAUGUCCAUGGCCAUAAUAAUAAUGAGAGAAUAACGUUUCGUUUUUUUUAAGAAAAAUUGAAAAAGGCCUACCGCCCUCCUCCAAGGCUAAUGAGAAAGAUCAGUGUAAGGUCAAUUUCGUCCAUUCACUGUAUCUAAGGUGGAUUUUUUUUUUUUGGUCAAAGAUAAGCUGGAUUGCGUUGCCCACCUUUUGUUUUAAAUUCGAGGCAACAGCUCACGGAAGAGGAGAAAAGGAGCUACCAUCUUUAGUGUGAAAUAGGACAGAAGCUGGAUUGCACUGCCCACUUUUUGUUUGAAUUUCAGCUAACGGACUCGCGAAAAAGGAACUGUUAUAUUUAGUCUGGAUUCCAACAUAAAGUCCCAUUCCAUUAGUCAAAUUUUCCAAUUCAAUUUAAAUAUGAGAGGAGAUGUCAAGAGAUAGAAAUAUGCCUAUUAGUUUAAGUUUUUGGAUAAGACUUUUUAACGAUUUGAUUCUAGAAAAAUUUUAAAAAAAAUUCGAUAUAAAUAAUUUUGUUUAGAACAUCAAUUGCAAUAGGCACAUUAGGCAUUAUCAUCUUUUCUUUUUCUUUUUUUUUUUGGCGAUUGGUUACUUAAAAAGCUGUCUUAAGAGCGUAAAUGAUGAUUGAACGCGUAGUCGGGCAAGAGUGGUCUCCUGCUAAUCUUGCUGGUGAAGUUGCAACUGGGGUUGCAAGACCAUCAUGAGCUGCCCUCCGUUUGUCUCUUUCCAAGCAGGUUCCGGCACUUUAACCCCACUACUACGUUCCACGGUCCACCCACCUAUUUAUUAUUAUAAUAAAUAGUCAUAAAAUAAAAUAAUCGAAGGCUCACCCUCAUCCCACCCCUGUAUAAAAUACUCCUCCUCGCUUCAACAUAACCCACAACUUAAACAAAGCGAGAAACUACCUCUGCUUUCACCUUCCCUCACUCUUUAGCCCAAAACUCAAGCUGCUACAAUGGCAUCCUUCUUCGCUUCUAAGACAGCUCUUCUUCCAAAGCUCUUCCUUGCCCUCUGCCUCCUCCAGAUGGCCUCCGCCACCAGGAGGCUGGCCGAGCUGGUCCAAGACCAGUCCCCGCCCAUGAAGUACCACAAUGGCCCUCUCCUCUCCGGCAAGAUCUCCGUCAACCUCAUCUGGUACGGCCGCUUCAAGCCUUCCCAGCGCACCAUCGUCUCCGACUUCGUCGCCUCCCUCUCUUCCGACCCUUCUUUGGCUCAGGCCCCUCCAUCCGUCUCUCAGUGGUGGAAGACGGUCGACAAGUACUACCACCUCUCCUCCUCCAAGAGGCGCACUCCUUCUCUCACGCUCUCGCUCGGGAGGCAAGUCCUCGACGAGAGCUAUUCCCUCGGGGAGUCCCUCACGAGCAAGCAC
This 31385-nucleotide long non-coding RNA is filed under the name Eucalyptus grandis. Its description in RNAcentral is "long non-coding RNA (EGRA_LNC003478)". Lineage: Eukaryota; Viridiplantae; Streptophyta; Magnoliopsida; Myrtales; Myrtaceae. The record is from RNAcentral.